AUUGAACGCUGGCGGCAUGCUUUACACAUGCAAGUCGAACGGCAGCACGGGGGCAACCCUGGUGGCGAGUGGCGAACGGGUGAGUAAUGCAUCGGAACAUACCCAGUCGUGGGGGAUAACGUAGCGAAAGUUGCGCUAAUACCGCAUACGUCCUGAGGGAGAAAGCGGGGGAUCGCAAGACCUCGCGCGAUUGGAGUGGCCGAUGUCAGAUUAGCUAGUUGGUGGGGUAAAGGCCCACCAAGGCGACGAUCUGUAGCGGGUCUGAGAGGAUGAUCCGCCACACUGGGACUGAGACACGGCCCAGACUCCUACGGGAGGCAGCAGUGGGGAAUUUUGGACAAUGGGGGCAACCCUGAUCCAGCCAUGCCGCGUGCGGGAAGAAGGCCUCGG
Molecule: ribosomal RNA, 390 nt
Filed under: uncultured bacterium
Lineage: Bacteria
Description: bacterial SSU rRNA
Rfam family: Bacterial small subunit ribosomal RNA
Source: RNAcentral